This 666-nucleotide ribosomal RNA is filed under the name Hannaella oryzae. RNAcentral's name for it is "LSU rRNA". It matches the Rfam family "Eukaryotic large subunit ribosomal RNA", at positions 37 to 692 of the family's 3401-position model. The record is from RNAcentral. Lineage: Eukaryota; Fungi; Basidiomycota; Tremellomycetes; Tremellales; Bulleribasidiaceae.
AGCAUAUCAAUAAGCGGAGGAAAAGAAACUAACAAGGAUUCCCCUAGUAGCGGCGAGCGAACCGGGAAGAGCUCAAAUUUAAAAUCUGGCGUCUUUCAGGCGUCCGAGUUGUAAUCUACAGAAGUGUUUUCCGUGCCGGACCGUGUCCAAGUCCCUUGGAAUAGGGUAUCAAAGAGGGUGAUAAUCCCGUACUUGACACGACAACCGGUGCUCUGUGAUACAUUUUCUACGAGUCGAGUUGUUUGGGAAUGCAGCUCAAAAUGGGUGGUAAAUUCCAUCUAAAGCUAAAUAUAGGCGAGAGACCGAUAGCGAACAAGUACCGUGAGGGAAAGAUGAAAAGCACUUUGGAAAGAGAGUUAAACAGUACGUGAAAUUGUUAAAAGGGAAACGAUUGAAGUCAGUCAUGUCUAUUGGUUUCAGCUAGCUCUGCUAGUGUAUUACCUUUAGACGGGUCAACAUCAGUUUUAGACGGUGGAAAAAGGCAUGAGGAAAGUAGCAACUCCGGUUGUGUUAUAGCCUCGUGUUGCAUACACUGUCCGAGACUGAGGAAUGCAGCUCGCCUUUAUGGCCGGGGUUCGCCCACGUUCGAGCUUAGGAUGUUGACAUAAUGGCUUUAAACGACCCGUCUUGAAACACGGACCAAGGAGUCUAACAUAUCUGCGAGUG